RNAcentral lists this microRNA precursor (59 nucleotides) under Mus musculus (house mouse). RNAcentral's name for it is "microRNA mmu-mir-7668 precursor". The record is from miRBase by way of RNAcentral. Lineage: Eukaryota; Metazoa; Chordata; Mammalia; Rodentia; Muridae.
CACUCUGAAUAACCUGCUCUCUGUGGAAGAAACCAUGCGGUGCAGGGGAUUCAGAGGAG